UAGAGGAAUAUUCUCAAAAUAUUAGCUUUUUAGCAGAAUACACUAAGAUUUUGUCCCUCUCAUUCUAAUAAGAACAUGUCUUUGUUAGCAGUGUCAUAGAAUUCUCCAGAAAGGCAAAACUACAACAGCACAGUUUGUCUGUGUGAGAGUACCAAGAAAAGGAAACUCUUAGAAAAACAGAAAUAGAUUUUUUUCUUGAAGGACUUACCUGAGUUGCCAAGAGAAAUGGAGGACUCAAGCUGAGAGCUUGUGAUACUGGGUUUAGGGAUCCCAGUGCUUAUAUAGGGAUUUUUAAUUGCACCUUUUAGCUAGACGUCUUUUGCAGACAACUCCCCAGGUGUAUAAUGGACUGAUUCAUGGCCAACCAAACCCCAUUCCACUUGUUUCUUCUCCAGCGGGCCUUUUAUCUCAGCAUUUCCUUGAACACCACUCCUGUUUUGUAUUCUCUGUCUGUACAGCUUGGCCCCUGAGGGACAGCUCCAUCUCACACCCACUGUGUGACCAUAGCCUCAUCAGAAUGUGCUGUCAAUGUGCUGAACUGGUCUCCAGAAAAAUCCUGAUGGAAAGUUGCUGAAUGUAGAGCCAUGGUGUGUAGUCAACAACUGCUUAUUGACUGACUGAUCAGGAUUGCAACUCCUACUGACCCUAAGAACAGACUGGAUUUGGCUAUUGGAAGUUGCAUUUGGGUCCUUUAUGUGAAAUUCAGGCUCCUGCUGGAAGCAGUGUGACAUCUCUGACUGAUGUCUCAGUGUCCUUGGAUCUUCCUUCCUUCAUCCUAAUUUAAGUUUUGAUAAACAUAGUCCUGUUACUGAGCGGUUGUAAAGUUGGAAAUAUAUAUUACUGUAUAUAAACCAGAGUAUGUCUUUUUUCUCUAUUUAUAAUCUUUGAGAGAAAAUUAUUCUUUCCUUUUAAGUGUAUUUAUUUAUGUAUAGCCUCUUCAGAUAGAUUUAAAGCUAUUUGUAAUAAAACACUAAAGAAUAAACGAGUAAUUUUUUAAAGUAGAAAAUUAUAACUAAGGAAAAAGAAGAAUUCAAAGACACCAACAGUGCAAUUGCUGUUAUUAUACUUGAGGCUUUCUGGUGUCAGUUCCAAAAUAUGGUCCUCAUGAUUGUAAACUGUCAUCCACUGUCAAAAACUGUCAUUCAUUUUAUGAGAAAAUAAAGCAUUUCUUAGGUUUAAAUUCUAAAAAAAAUACAUCUCAUGUGGGACUUUAUAAAGGUAUUCACUUCA
This 1230-nucleotide long non-coding RNA is filed under the name Cervus hanglu yarkandensis (Yarkand deer). Its description in RNAcentral is "lncRNA (ENSCHYG00000005285.1)". The record is from RNAcentral. Lineage: Eukaryota; Metazoa; Chordata; Mammalia; Artiodactyla; Cervidae.